Molecule: transfer RNA, 84 nt
Filed under: Candidatus Omnitrophota bacterium
Lineage: Bacteria; Pseudomonadati; Candidatus Omnitrophota
Description: tRNA-Leu
Rfam family: tRNA
About the family: Transfer RNA (tRNA) molecules are approximately 80 nucleotides in length. Their secondary structure includes four short double-helical elements and three loops (D, anti-codon, and T loops).
Source: RNAcentral
GCCGGGAUGUUGGAAUGGCAGACAAUGUGGCCUUAAAAGCCACUGGAGUUUAACUCCGUGAGGGUUCGAGUCCCUCUCCCGGCA